GACGAACGCUGGCGGCGUGCCUAAUACAUGCAAGUAGAACGCUGAAGCGAGGAGCUUGCUCUUCUUGGAUGAGUUGCGAACGGGUGAGUAACGCGUAGGUAACCUGCCUUGUAGCGGGGGAUAACUAUUGGAAACGAUAGCUAAUACCGCAUAACAAUGGAUGACACAUGUCAUUUAUUUGAAAGGGGCAAUUGCUCCACUACAAGAUGGACCUGCGUUGUAUUAGCUAGUAGGUGAGGUAAUGGCUCACCUAGGCGACGAUACAUAGCCGACCUGAGAGGGUGAUCGGCCACACUGGGACUGAGACACGGCCCAGACUCCUACGGGAGGCAGCAGUAGGGAAUCUUCGGCAAUGGGGGCAACCCUGACCGAGCAACGCCGCGUGAGUGAAGAAGAUUUUCGGAUCGUAAAGCUCUGUUGUAAGUCAAGAACGGGUGUGAGAGUGGAAAGUUCACACUGUGACGGUAGCUUACCAGAAAGGGACGGCUAACUACGUG
Molecule: ribosomal RNA, 497 nt
Filed under: uncultured bacterium
Lineage: Bacteria
Description: partial 16S ribosomal RNA
Rfam family: Bacterial small subunit ribosomal RNA
Source: RNAcentral